This 459-nucleotide ribosomal RNA is filed under the name uncultured bacterium. RNAcentral describes it as "SSU rRNA". It matches the Rfam family "Bacterial small subunit ribosomal RNA", at positions 26 to 518 of the family's 1533-position model. The record is from RNAcentral.
AGAAUCAACGCUGGCGGCGUGCCUAACACAUGCAAGUCGAACGAGAAAGUGGAGCAAUCCAUUAGUAAAGUGGCGCACGGGUGAGUAACACGUGACUAACCUACCCUUGAGUGGGGGAUAACCUAGAGAAAUCUGGGCUAAUACCGCAUAAUACCUUCGGGUCAAAGGAGCAAUUCGCUUUAGGAGGGGGUCGCGGCCGAUUAGUUAGUUGGCGGGGUAAUGGCCCACCAAGACUGUGAUCGGUAUCCGGCCUGAGAGGGCGCACGGACACACUGGAACUGAAACACGGUCCAGACUCCUACGGGAGGCAGCAGUGGGGAAUUUUGCGCAAUGGGGGAAACCCUGACGCAGCAACGCCGCGUGGAGGAUGAAGCCCCUUGGGGCGUAAACUCCUUUCGAUCGGGAGAUAAUGACGGUACCGAGAGAAGAAGCCCCGGCUAACUUCGCGCCAGCAGCCGC